Molecule: ribosomal RNA, 400 nt
Filed under: uncultured bacterium
Lineage: Bacteria
Description: bacterial SSU rRNA
Rfam family: Bacterial small subunit ribosomal RNA
Source: RNAcentral
UGAGGAAUAUUGGACAAUGAACGAAAGUUUGAUCCAGCAAUAUCACGUGAAUGAAGAAGGUUUAUUUUAUCGUAAAGUUCUUUCAAUGAGGAGGAUAAUGACGUUACUCAUAGAAGAAGUCCCGACUAACCUCGUGCCAGCAGUCGCGGUAAUACGGGGGGGGCAAGCGUUACUCUACAUUACUGGGUGUAAAGCGUGUUAAGGUGGUUUAAUAAGUUCUUUCUUAAAUGUUAAAACUCAAUUUUAAAACUGGAAAUGAAUACUGUUAAACUAGAGUAUAUUAGGAGAUAGUUGUAUGUUUAGUGUAGGAGUAGAAUUCUUUAAUAUUAAAAAGACAUCCAAUGGGUGAAGACUACUAUCUAUAGUAUUACUGACACUGACACACAAAAGCGUGAGGAGC